Molecule: long non-coding RNA, 422 nt
Filed under: Pan troglodytes (chimpanzee)
Lineage: Eukaryota; Metazoa; Chordata; Mammalia; Primates; Hominidae
Description: lncRNA (ENSPTRG00000053273.1)
Source: RNAcentral
CCAAGACAGAUGCCAAUGGCGGAAUCAGAGCUCCAUAAGUCAACGUGCCUUUGAGAAUCUGUCAGGGGCUCUUGGAGAUCAUUUGAGCCAAAAUAAAUGCCAAGUGUGUCACCUUCUGCUCCAAGUACCCACAAUGCAAAGUCGAUGUGAGUUCUUUCCUCGAUGUCAUCAUACAUUCCACUAAAUUGCUUUCACGCGUAAAUCUGGCACAGGAAGCUGGAGAUCGAGAUUAGAAUGAGGAAACGCAGACGGCCUUUCUCUGCAACUAGUGCAUUUCAUGUGGUCUUCUGAAAAUUACUUACCCUUUCUCAUCUUGACAUAUCUACUAUUUCGUCACUGCAAUUUUUAAAAAAGGAAAAAAUCUUCUAUGUCUUUCCUCCAUGUGACGUUUAAGGACAGAUGAGAGUCUGUGGAAACCAGAG